Molecule: ribosomal RNA, 854 nt
Filed under: uncultured archaeon
Lineage: Archaea
Description: bacterial SSU rRNA
Rfam family: Archaeal small subunit ribosomal RNA
Source: RNAcentral
CCCCACUGCUAUCGAGGUGAGACUUAGCCAGGCCAGUCGAACGACUCGGACUAUGGCGAGAAGUGGCAAACUGCUCAGUAACACGUAGCUAACCUACCCUCAGGACGGAGACAACCCCGGGAAACUGGGGUUAAUCCCCGAUAGGCGUGGAUUCCUGGAAUGGUGUCACGCCGAAACGUUAACACACCAUGUUUGUGUACACGCCUGAGGACGGGGCUGCGGCCGAUCAGGCAGUUGGUGAGGUAACGGCUCACCAAACCUUUGACCGGUACGGGCCGUGAGAGCGGUAGCCCGGAGAUGGACACUGAGACAAGGGUCCAGGACCUACGGGUCGCAGCCGGUACGAAACCUCCACAAUGCACGCAAGUGCGAUGGGGUUACCUCGAGUGCCGCCUGAAGAAGGCGGCUUUUCCAUUGUGUAAUGAGCCGUGGGAAUAAGGGGGGGGCAAGACUGGUGUCAGCCGCCGCGGUAACACCAGCCCCCCGAGUGGUGGGGAUGUUUAUUUGGCCUAAAACGUCCGUAGCCAGCUAGGUAAAUCUCUCGUUAAAUCCAGCGUCCUAAGCGUUGGGCUGCGAGAGAGACUGCCAAGCUAGAGGGUGGGAGAGGUCAGCGGUAUUUCUGGGGUAGGGGCGAAAUCCAUUGAUCCCAGGAGGACCACCAGUGGCGAAGGCUGCUGACUAGAACACGCCUGACGGUGAGGGACGAAAGCUGGGGUAGCGAAUCGGAUUAGAUACCCGAGUAGUCCCAGCCGUAAACGAUGCAGGCUAGGUGUUGGGUUGGCCACGUGCCGACUCAGUGCCACAGGGAAGCCAUUAAGCCUGCUGCCUGGGGAGUACGGUCGCAAGGCUGAAAC